GAAAAGAUUUAGAAAUACAGAAACU
RNAcentral lists this transfer RNA (25 nucleotides) under Aneides flavipunctatus (black salamander). RNAcentral describes it as "partial tRNA-Ser". The record is from RNAcentral. Lineage: Eukaryota; Metazoa; Chordata; Amphibia; Caudata; Plethodontidae.